GAUGAACGCUGGCGGCGUGCUUAACACAUGCAAGUCGAACGAAGCACUUUAUUUGAUUUCCUUCGGGACUGAUUAUUUUGUGACUGAGUGGCGGACGGGUGAGUAACGCGUGGGUAACCUGCCUUGUACAGGGGGAUAACAGUUGGAAACGGCUGCUAAUACCGCAUAAGCGCACGGCAUCGCAUGAUGCAGUGGGAAAAAGUCCGGUGGUAUAAGAUGGACCCGCGUUGGAUUAGCUAGUUGGUGAGGUAACGGCCCACCAAGGCGACGAUCCAUAGCCGACCUGGGAGGGUGCCCGGCCACAUUGGGGCUGAGGCACGGCCCAAACUCCUACGGGAGGCAGCAGUGGGGAAUAUUGCACAAUGGGCGAAAGCCUGAUGCAGCGACGCCGCGUAAGCGAAGAAGUAUUUCGGUAUGUAAAGCUCUAUCAGCAGGGAAGAUAAUGACGGUACCUGACUAAGAAGCACCGGCUAAAUACGUG
Molecule: ribosomal RNA, 481 nt
Filed under: uncultured bacterium
Lineage: Bacteria
Description: partial 16S ribosomal RNA
Rfam family: Bacterial small subunit ribosomal RNA
Source: RNAcentral